UUCUUUGAUCAUAAUGCUCAAGAUGACCUAGAGUUUAAUUGUUAAGCCCGGAUUAGUCAACCACAUUGUAUCUCAACCUUUUAAAUCCAUCACAUAGAUUAUCUUGAUCAAGAUUUUACGAAAUUGAAACACACUUAUACAUUAACUCCUACUUAUUCAGAGGGGUCAAUUCCAUCUUGACUCACAUACUGACUUCGUAAGUACUUGACUGUACCAGAAAUCUUUCAUCACUGAAUUAGAAAUUCAAAUAGUCUGGCAUCAAAGUAUAGUGAGUUGCUUGCAAGUCAUCAUGGUGAUCUU
Molecule: long non-coding RNA, 300 nt
Filed under: Elaeis guineensis (African oil palm)
Lineage: Eukaryota; Viridiplantae; Streptophyta; Magnoliopsida; Arecales; Arecaceae
Description: long non-coding RNA (EGUI_LNC067806)
Source: RNAcentral